Molecule: transfer RNA, 72 nt
Filed under: Camelus bactrianus (Bactrian camel)
Lineage: Eukaryota; Metazoa; Chordata; Mammalia; Artiodactyla; Camelidae
Also listed under: 1 other name
Rfam family: tRNA
About the family: Transfer RNA (tRNA) molecules are approximately 80 nucleotides in length.
Source: Rfam by way of RNAcentral
GAGGGCAAAGCUCAGUGGUAGAGUGUGUGCUUAUUAUGCACAGGGUCCUGGGUUCAUUCCCUGGUACCUCCA